RNAcentral lists this ribosomal RNA (497 nucleotides) under uncultured bacterium. RNAcentral describes it as "partial 16S ribosomal RNA". It matches the Rfam family "Bacterial small subunit ribosomal RNA", at positions 28 to 507 of the family's 1533-position model. The record is from RNAcentral.
GAUGAACGCUGGCGGCGUGCCUAAUACAUGCAAGUCGAGCGAACAGACGAGGAGCUUGCUCCUCUGACGUUAGCGGCGGACGGGUGAGUAACACGUGGAUAACCUACCUAUAAGACUGGGAUAACUUCGGGAAACCGGAGCUAAUACCGGAUAACAUGUUGAACCGCAUGGUUCAACAGUGAAAGACGGUCUUGCUGUCACUUAUAGAUGGAUCCGCGCCGCAUUAGCUAGUUGGUAAGGUAACGGCUUACCAAGGCAACGAUGCGUAGCCGACCUGAGAGGGUGAUCGGCCACACUGGAACUGUGACACGGUCCAGACUCCUACGGGAGGCAGCAGUAGGGAAUCUUCCGCAAUGGGCGAAAGCCUGACGGAGCAACGCCGCGUGAGUGAAGAAGGUCUUCGGAUCGUAAAACUCUGUUAUUAGGGAAGAACAAAUGUGUAAGUAACUAUGCACGUCUUGACGGUACCUAAUCAGAAAGCCACGGCUAACUACGUG